CAAGGAGUGUUUUACUUCUUGCUCUACAUUUCUAUGCCCUUUGACACAAACAACUUUGAAUCUCUGGAGAAAAAAAAAAUGAAUAUGCAUGAGGUCUGAGGGAGUGGACCCGACUCUUCUCAUGCUUAAAUUGCAGGACUUGCUCUCGCCUUUCCACCAUCAAAAGCCGAACUGAAAAGUUAAGACGUGCUUCAAGGAAGAUAAAUAUUCAGAGAUGGAAAACAUCAAUGACAUCAUUCCUUUCGCCAAGGACAUGCUUAGACAGAGGCCCACUAGCAGCAUGUUAAAGAUCUACAUGCUCGGCUCCACUCUGGCUAUCCUUGGAAUGGUUGGCGGCAUGGUGGAGAUGAUUCUCCUGCCCUUCUUGAAGGAUCGGACCAUAGAGGAAGAACUAGCAGAACUCUUAUUUGAGAAGAAGACAAGGAACUCCUCUAUUUGUACUGAAGCUGAGGAGGUGAUCAGGGCCAUACUGUCUGAAGCGAAGGUCAAACAUCCAGGGACCGGUUCACAGAGGAGCUUAGCCAACCGUUUACACGCAUCCUAGGGAGACGAUCCUGCAAUAAAACAGACACUGCAGACCGGGUUGUCGAUGGCAGUGGAGACGAAUCCCUUUUAUGCGUUAAUUUAUUUCUCAUGUGGUUAAAAAUGCAGCUUGCUGCUGUUGCUGGCAAAAAAGAGAACGCUGGACUUUUAGAAUGAAACUGCAGGAUACAGUAACGUCAGGCUGCUGGGCAGCAGAUUGUCAAAGAUGACUUUAUCGGAUGAACAAGGAAGAAAUUUGAUAUGUUUUAAAAGUGUUUUGUGUUGUAAUAAACUGCUUUUCUCCUGCAAA
Long non-coding RNA from Cyprinodon tularosa, 832 nucleotides. RefSeq lists it as uncharacterized. The transcript is spliced from 2 exons. The record is from RefSeq and is a predicted model, not a curated record. NCBI's taxonomy places the organism in Eukaryota, Metazoa, Chordata, Actinopteri, Cyprinodontiformes, Cyprinodontidae.